GGAGAGGUGUCCGAGCGGCUUAAGGAGCACGCUUGGAAAGCGUGUGUGCGGGAAACGGUACCGUGGGUUCGAAUCCCACCCUCUCCG
This 87-nucleotide transfer RNA is filed under the name Candidatus Aminicenantota bacterium. RNAcentral describes it as "Candidatus Aminicenantes bacterium tRNA-Ser". It matches the Rfam family "tRNA". Rfam says of the family: Transfer RNA (tRNA) molecules are approximately 80 nucleotides in length. Lineage: Bacteria; Candidatus Aminicenantota. The record is from RNAcentral.